Long non-coding RNA from Harpegnathos saltator (Jerdon's jumping ant), 694 nucleotides. RefSeq lists it as uncharacterized. Lineage: Eukaryota; Metazoa; Arthropoda; Insecta; Hymenoptera; Formicidae. The transcript is spliced from 3 exons. The record is from RefSeq and is a predicted model, not a curated record.
CAAGAGGCAGUGUAACAGCAAUCUUUGAAAUAUUAUUCCAGAGGUUUGACUUUCAGCUUUAUUAUGUCUAUGAUUUAAAGACGAAAGAAAGAAAAAAGUAUUUUUCUGCAGAGAACGUGAUAGAAAGUAAAAAUUAUUUCUCGCGAAAUAAGUUUCGCGAAAUAACUCGCGAUAUAAGAGCUAGACGAAGUUUUCGGCAAGCUUUUCGCAAAGAUUACGGACAUGGUUAGGUCAGCAUGGUAUAUCUGCUCAGGGUAAACUUGAUGUAAAAUUUGGAGCGGAAGAAAGUUUAACGAAAAUAGCCACGGUACCCACACUCACGAGAUUGUUAUAUCAUAGCCGUAUGUUAUAACCGAAGAAGCAGCGUAUAUCAUAACCGCAAAUUAAACGCACGAUCCGUACAUAAAACCCAUCAUAUCAACUUCGUUACUCACUGAUAAUGUUAUCCCGUAACGAAAAAUUGAGUGAUAUGUCGACCCGUCUCAGGAUUUCGCAAAUUUCAUCCAAUUAUCGACUGCAGACGUCAGAUUGACGUUCGCGUAGCUAUGGUCUAAACGUCUAAAGGGUUUACGUUCCUGAGCGAAGGUUCGUUAGGAUAAUCAUUCGACGGCGAUAUUAUUUUUGAUAAAAAGUAUUUGUUCGUUAUGUAGAGUAUGUAGGAAAGAAUGUUAAAUAAAUUGUGAUGUGCGCGAAA